CCUUAUUCUGCGUCUCGCACGAGUCGAGACGACUGUUCUCGUUUCGUUGUCGUGUGACACUUCUCGCUUUAUUCCGAAUGUCGACUCGCGCGAGGCGAGGCGUUCAUUUCGUAUCGAGAGGAAGGAUGAACCGACACCGAAUUGAAGUUCACCCAGAGAAACGUCAAACUAAUAAAAGUUCAUCACUGGGCUUAGAUAAGGGCGAAAAGAAUAAAGCUUAACAAAACAAUAUUUUUAAAUAUGGUUUUUAUUACAAAUAUUUGCAAAAACAGAACCAUAAUUAAAUAAUGUAUGCUUUAUUUCACCAUUUGAGAAUAAUCCAAUGAAUUAUUGAUCGAUUUUUUAACUAUCUUUGCGACUAAAGUGAUUAUAGAAAUUCGCUCUUUUUGGAAAUGGUUAAGAUUUGUGUGUUAUAUAGUUCGCUGAAUUUUUCUUCGGAGGAAAACCAAAACAAACUAGUUACGGUUAAUUGACGAGGAAAAGUGUUUUUACGUGAUGGUAUCACCAACCUAUCAGAACCAGAUCCAGAUUUUCAUCUACGAACACCAUGGCGCACCAUUCAGAAGUUUUUUUUGCCAUCGAGAUGCUCGCAGAAGUUGGAUUGGAUUCCAUCAUAUUACACGGUUCUGGAGGAAGGAAUCUGUGCGGAAUAUAUGGGCCAUGGCGAUGGGAAUUGAACUAGUUGCUCGAGUAUUCCCGGACGUUUAAUUUCCGAAUGUUUAUCUGCUGUGCCGCCCUGGACAUUAGGAGAAGAGAAAAAUAACGAUGAAGUUACGGAGUAGAUAUUUCAUUUUGACUUUCAAAUGCUAUUAUUUGGAAAUCGAAAUAUUGCUAAUGUAAUCUCUUAUUGAAUUAUAAUUUAAAUAAAAUAAUAUGAAAGUAGUCGUAGGAUUAUAUGAAAA
Molecule: long non-coding RNA, 902 nt
Organism: Armigeres subalbatus
Lineage: Eukaryota; Metazoa; Arthropoda; Insecta; Diptera; Culicidae
Exons: 2
Source: RefSeq, a predicted model, not a curated record